This 310-nucleotide unclassified non-coding RNA is filed under the name plant metagenome. RNAcentral's name for it is "partial contains 5.8S ribosomal RNA, internal transcribed spacer 2, and large subunit ribosomal RNA". The stretch from base 1 to 105 matches the Rfam family "5.8S ribosomal RNA", at positions 50 to 154 of the family's 154-position model. The record is from RNAcentral.
GAAAUGCGAUAAGUAGUGUGAAUUGCAGAAUUCAGUGAAUCAUCGAAUCUUUGAGCGCACAUUGCGCCCCUUGGUAUUCCAUGGGGCAUGCCUGUUCGAGCGUCAUUUGUACCCUCAAGCUCUGCUUGGUGUUGGGUGUUUGUCCCCGUCUCCGCGCGUGGACUCGCCCCAAAGUGAUUGGCAGCCGGCGUACUGGUCCCGGAGCGCAGCACAUGUCGCGCAAACGAGUGCCUUGGUACGGCGGCGUCCAUAAGCCCCUCUCUCACGCUCUUGACCUCGGAUCAGGUAGGGAUACCCGCUGAACUUAAGC